ACUAAGUCAAGGAGAUGAGCUUGCGUUGAAUCCAAGGAAAUCAGGCUUCCUUUUAUGAACAUAGACUUUUGCUAAUUUAAAUUACUUGUGUAAAUGAUAUCGUGUAGUAUGUUUCGGAAUCAAACAGCUAAAAUUCUUGUGUUCCACCGCCUACGAAAAAUGCUAAAUACGUCACCGGUUGUUACACGUCGUGAUAUUUUGUACAAUA
This is a non-coding RNA of Cinara cedri, 208 nucleotides long. The record is from the annotation of a GenBank genome assembly. NCBI's taxonomy places the organism in Eukaryota, Metazoa, Arthropoda, Insecta, Hemiptera, Aphididae.